UACGGGGGGGGCAAGCGUUGUUCGGAAUUACUGGGCGUAAAGGGCGCGUAGGCGGGUGGACAAGUCUCUCGUGAAAGCCCACGGCUCAACCGUGGAAUUGCGGGAGAUACUGUCUGUCUUGAGUCCGGGAGAGGAGGGUGGAAUUCCCAGUGUAACGGUGAAAUGCGUAGAUAUUGGGAGGAGCACCGGUGGCGAAGGCGGCUCUCUUGACCGGUACUGACGCUGAGGCGCGAAAGCUAGGGGAGCAAACGGG
Molecule: ribosomal RNA, 253 nt
Filed under: uncultured bacterium
Lineage: Bacteria
Description: partial 16S ribosomal RNA
Rfam family: Bacterial small subunit ribosomal RNA
Source: RNAcentral